This is a non-coding RNA of Zootermopsis nevadensis, 919 nucleotides long. The record is from RefSeq and is a predicted model, not a curated record. Lineage: Eukaryota; Metazoa; Arthropoda; Insecta; Blattodea; Termopsidae.
CAGAUAACGCUAAUGUCAAGGUGCUUGAACGCGUUAUUUUUCUUUAGGAUUGGUUUGUUUAUAUACUGGCAUUCAGAGCGACAUUUAAACGCAUUUGAUAAAAAUCAAAACUCUUCACAUCCACAGUAUUUAGCUUUAAAUGUACAGUUGAAAACAUACACCACUUGAAUCAAAUGUCGCCUGUGACCGUUGUCAUGGCAACCAAAAUUCCAGUUUAUGUAAAUAAACUGUCCCUACUAUGUCAGUGAUGUAAAAGUAAAACCUGAGCACAGGUGACACUUCAGGCAACCCUGAUAAUCCCAGACUUAGUGGAACAGAUGUAUUGCUCUCAGCAAAUUUAUAUACCACCCACAUUCCCAUUCAUAUUGAAGCAGUAUGCUAAAGCAGCAAUCCGUACUCAGCCACAUGAUCUGCUAUGCUUGUCAGCUGCUUAUUUCUGAGCAAUGGCUUGGGGAGAAGAACCUCCUGUUAAGAAAAGAUUGGAAUAUCCACUUGUUACACCAUCUGGAUUGUCUCCAGUACAUCUGAAAGUAUUACUUAAGCAGGAAACACUGGGUCAGGUGAAGAGGAACCUGUAACAUCUAAAUUGUAUAGGAGAAUUAAUAUUUCAGAAAUUGGCCCAGUAAUCAUGCUGCACAGAUACAAUCAGUGCUGCUAAAGUAUCUUGAAUAUUGGCAGGGCAACAGAGAGCAAAGUCACACCAGCACCUGAACAGUAGAUCUGCAGCUACCAAGUACAUAAAAUGUAGAAGGUGCGUGGGAGAGUACGAUUCAUUCUGCUUCAUGUCGAGUUUAAUGCUGAUAAAAUGGAGUGUUCUGACACAGCAUGAAUGAGAAAAUGGAAUGUCAGAUAAUAAGGACUUCAACUGUAGUUCAAAAUGCAAUUUAACUAUGGAAUAAUUUAUUUUGUUGUUCAGUGA